AGGUGUUCAUCCGAUUUCUUUUAAUCAGUGCUAGCACGUAUAGCCAUCCAACAGAACUCAGUGCAAUUUCUUUUCAUAGUGUUGGUCCGAACCAACUGAUUGUUCUUUGACAUCAAGCGCACACCGUGACUCACCCCGCUGGCUCGACUCGCACACGCGUCAACUUAACUUUGCCACGUACUUCAUAGGACCCUCGCACUGCCCCCGACCCAGCCGCUUUUUCUUGUCGGUCGAGUCGUUCAUUCACCACCCACCAGCGAGAGGUAGCAAUAGCAAGCCCCGCUUCUUCUUCUCUUAUCCUCAAGAACUGAGGCCGCUGGUCCUCCUCAUCUACUCUCCAUCCACCUCACAUCACCACCCAUCUCUCCUCUUCCUAUCUAUCCAGCGCACCCCGCCCCCGCGAACUCGCCGCCCCGUGCUCCGGAUCCAGCCGAUCCCGCGCCGCUCAUCCUCGCGCGCCUCUGCUUGCGUUGACCGUGAGGAGGAGGUCAGCGUCUCGGCCAGCGGUGGCACACGGAUUCUCAUCCCGUACAUCCACGGAUACUCAUCUUGUUCUAUGCUUGUAGGCCAAUGUGAAGCCAGUCGCUGACACGCCGUUGCAGACCACCAGAUCCGGAGUGCCGCCGCUGGAUCCUGUCCGCGUCACGCCACGCCGUUGCAGACCACCAGAUACCCGCCGCUGGAUCCUGUCCGCAUCACGCCCGCGUCAACGGCGGCUGUCAGAACACCCUCUCCUUCUCGAGGACUCCGAUUCUCUUCGUUGCCUUCCCAUCAUGAUGGGUUAUUUCUUUUUUUGCCUUUGAUUCUCGUGAGAAUCUGAGGGACUCGCCCGCGGAUCUUUCUUCACUCCUCAUUGUUCUCUCUCAUGUAUUUGCAGUAUGUUUGUUGUUUUUUGAGAAGUCUGAUUAAUAUUACGGAUAAUCUGCAAUUGUAUAUAAACUAAUGAGAAUCAGUUUAGAGGAGCGAUGCGUGACAAAAAAAUCGAACGUAAACGCACGACCAGACAGAGUUUGUGUGCGUGAUGGCCGGGCUGAAACUCUGUUGAAGUGACCGCGAGUUGAAUAUCAAACAAUAUAGGGUCCUUUUUGUAAACCUAAAGCGUUUUUUAGAUAACAACUUGAAAAGGUAGUGCGGGUUAAUUUCUCAAAAACGGGAGGACUUUUCUACAAAACGGCCGGUGACGUACUACCAGAAGCAAUCGAUGGUUUAUUAGUAGGUAAAGAUAUAUAUAUAUAUAUAUAUAUAUAUAUAUAUAUAUAUACAUAUAAUCUAUAUCUAUACCUACUAUUAAAGCAAGGUGAUAUUCUUAGUUCCGUCCCGCGAUUGAUUUUUUUUCCUGGCAGUUUUACAAAAAAGCCCCUCGGUUUACAUAAAUCAACCCGCAGUCCCUGUUUUAGUGGCAAUUUAGAAAAAUGUUUUGUUUUUGCGUAAAAAACCCCUGCAUUUGUUAGAAAUUAUACCCGCAACCCUUAUCUCUUAUUGGACUGGCUCACCACCGCGCCUCUCACCGCUUAUCCUGCCGUUCUCCAUGAGCGGGCACGCGCCGCCGCUUGCCACCGGCGUCGUGGCGGGCGUCCGCGCCGAGGCGGACAGGAGACCCAAGUCAAAGGCUGGUCAUGGGGAAGGCCUCGGCGGGAAGACUCGAGGAGGUCUCGAGCGCGACAGGGAGCUGGCCGGAGCGCACGGACAGUGGGGGGGCUUCCGUCGUCCAGGCACAGGCUGGAUACGGCCCCGCGGCGCGAGUGUGCCGGCAGCAUGGGGAGGGGAGGGCUGGAGCACGGGCGCGCACGCAUGGGAGGAAAUAGUCGUCCCCUGGCGCGGGGUCAACGGCUUGGGAGCGCUGACCGCAUCGACCCAGGCGGCGCGGCUACAGAGUGAUGCAGGGCACGGCAGUGACGGGUCACGGCACCGCGGGCGGCGGACGGAGCGACAGAGAGAGGUGGGGCGCGGGCGAGCUUGUGCUCGUGCUCGAGCGCCUGAAGAAGAUGGCGCGGCGGCGGAGUUGAAGCGCCUUGGCGAGCUCGGGCUACACGGCUGCGAGUCGGGCUUGGCGAGGAUGCAGGCAGCACGGGACGUCGAUGCCGAGAACUUGGAGGCGGGGAGCCGGUUCCCAGCUUUGGGAGCGCGGGACGACGCGAAGAACAGCAUCGGGUGGCGGAGCACUGCCUCUACACUUGAAUAGAGAGAGAGAGGGGGAGAUAUUCAGAGAGGAUGGAGCAGAAUUGAAAGGGGAAGAAGAGUGAAGGUGAGGGCGACGGGCAGGCAACCUGCGGGGGGCUCCGAUGGCGCGGCCGAGCAUGUGCGAGGACGAGGCACACCUCCCGCUCGAAGAAGAUGCCACCCCAACAUCACCACGAAUCGUGGAGGAGAGGAGUAAUAGCGGGCGAAUCAUGGAGAAGAGGAGUCGCAGAGGGCGCCGGCGGCCGCGGAGGCCCUGCCCCAUCGGCGCUGCAUGGGGAAGGAGGGGGCAGAGAGAGCGAGGCGUGGUGGGGUGGUGGGUUGGCAGAUCGGAGAAAGCCUUGGGAAGGAGGACGCGACUGAAUCAGGUGGAGGCGAGGCUGCUGACCCACGGGACCGGCGACUGGGGCGAACGGCCAGAUCAAGCUUCUGGCUGGGUUGGA
This 2621-nucleotide ribosomal RNA is filed under the name Triticum aestivum (bread wheat). RNAcentral describes it as "partial small subunit ribosomal RNA". The record is from RNAcentral. Lineage: Eukaryota; Viridiplantae; Streptophyta; Magnoliopsida; Poales; Poaceae.